AGCUCCAAUAGCGUAUAUUUAAGUUGUUGGUGUUAAAAAGCUCGUAGUUGGAUUUCGGGCGGGGGUCAGCGGUCUCCAGACGGUUGUACUGCUGACGCCCGCCUUGCUGCCGGCGACGGGCUCCCCGCUUCACUGCGGCGGACCCGGGGCCGGCGACGUUACUUUGAGUAAAUUGGAGUGUUCAAAGCAAGCCACCGCUCUGAACAUAAUAGCAUGGGAUAACACGACAGGACUCUGGCCUAUCGUGUUGGUCUGUAGGACCGGAGUAAUGAUUAACAGGACCAGUCGGGGGCACUCGUAUUCCGCCGUCAGCGGUGAAAUGCUCGGAUCGGCGGAAGACGAACAUCUGCGAAAGCAUUUGCCAAGGAUGUUUCCA
This 376-nucleotide ribosomal RNA is filed under the name uncultured eukaryote. RNAcentral's name for it is "SSU rRNA". It matches the Rfam family "Eukaryotic small subunit ribosomal RNA", at positions 587 to 972 of the family's 1831-position model. The record is from RNAcentral.